Molecule: transfer RNA, 77 nt
Filed under: Thiospirillum jenense
Lineage: Bacteria; Pseudomonadati; Pseudomonadota; Gammaproteobacteria; Chromatiales; Chromatiaceae
Also listed under: 1 other name
Description: tRNA-Arg
Rfam family: tRNA
About the family: Transfer RNA (tRNA) molecules are approximately 80 nucleotides in length.
Source: RNAcentral
GCGCCCGUAGCUCAGUUGGACAGAGCAACGGCCUUCUAAGCCGUGGGUCGCAGGUUCAAGUCCUGCCGGGCGUGCCA